Molecule: ribosomal RNA, 301 nt
Filed under: uncultured bacterium
Lineage: Bacteria
Description: partial 16S ribosomal RNA
Rfam family: Bacterial small subunit ribosomal RNA
Source: RNAcentral
CAGCCGCCGCGGGAAUACGGAGGGUGCAAGCGUUAUCCGGAUUCACUGGGUUUAAAGGGUGCGUAGGCGGGCAGGUAAGUCAGUGGUGAAAUCUUCGAGCUUAACUCGGAAACUGCCGUUGAUACUAUCUGUCUUGAAUAACGUUGAGGUGAGCGGAAUAUGUCAUGUAGCGGUGAAAUGCUUAGAUAUGACAUAGAACACCGAUUGCGAAGGCAGCUCACUAAACGCUCAUUGACGCUGAGGCACGAAAGCGUGGGGAUCAAACAGGAUUAGAUACCCCUGUAGUCCCUGUCUCUUAUAC